This 118-nucleotide ribosomal RNA is filed under the name Sarcocystis buffalonis. RNAcentral describes it as "partial 5.8S ribosomal RNA". It matches the Rfam family "5.8S ribosomal RNA", at positions 2 to 119 of the family's 154-position model. Rfam says of the family: 5.8S ribosomal RNA (5.8S rRNA) is a component of the large subunit of the eukaryotic ribosome. The record is from RNAcentral. Lineage: Eukaryota; Apicomplexa; Conoidasida; Eucoccidiorida; Sarcocystidae.
AUUUUCAGCGACGGAUGUCUUGGCUCGCGCAACGAUGAAGGACGCAGUGAAAUGCGAAACGCAAUGUGAAUUGCAGAAUUCAGGGGAUCAUCAGAUUUCUGAACGCAAAUGGCACCUU